Molecule: ribosomal RNA, 196 nt
Filed under: uncultured bacterium
Lineage: Bacteria
Description: partial 16S ribosomal RNA
Rfam family: Bacterial small subunit ribosomal RNA
Source: RNAcentral
UCCUACGGGAGGCAGCAGUGGGGAAUAUUGGACAAUGGGCGCAAGCCUGAUCCAGCAAUGCCGCGUGUGUGAAGAAGGCCUGAGGGUUGUAAAGCACUUUCAAUUGUGAAGAAAUGCUAAUGAUUAAUACUCAUUAGUCUUGACGUUAACUUUAGAAGAAGCACCGGCUAACUCUGUGCCAGCAGCCGCGGUAAUA